RNAcentral lists this ribosomal RNA (519 nucleotides) under uncultured eukaryote. RNAcentral describes it as "partial 18S ribosomal RNA". It matches the Rfam family "Eukaryotic small subunit ribosomal RNA", at positions 1161 to 1378 of the family's 1831-position model. The record is from RNAcentral.
AGGGCACCCCCCGGAGUGGAGCCUGGCGCUUAAUUUGACCCAACACGGGAAAACUUACCCGGCCCGGACACUGAAAGGAUUGACAGUUUGAGAGUUUUUUCUUGAUUUGGUGGGGGGUGGUGAGGGGCGUUCUCGUUGGGGGAGGGUGUUGUCUGGUUACUGCUAAAUACGAAAAAGAAUUUAGCCUGCUCUUUGCUACCUGAUACUCACCGUCGUUUGCCAAAAAGUAAAUUAAUAGCGAAAGGGGGCUUGGGGUCCCGCGGCUUCGAGCUUAACAGUAAUGUCUGUUCCUUGUUUGUCUUGGUCGUGAGGCGCGUUAUACUUCUGCAAAACUACAUACAUCACAGGAUGUCGGAUAUUUUUUUUACCCCCCCCUCCCCCCUUCCCCGGAAACCCAAAAGGGGUUUUUUUUUCCCCCCCAAAAAAAUUUUUUCUUUCUCAUACGGGGGAAAAUUUUAAGGGGAAUAUUCCCCCCGAGGUGGGCCCCCCCCCCCCGGGAAGGAGGACCCCCUCCCCCCC